This 1721-nucleotide ribosomal RNA is filed under the name Lycogala epidendrum. RNAcentral describes it as "partial 18S ribosomal RNA". It matches the Rfam family "Eukaryotic small subunit ribosomal RNA", at positions 31 to 1157 of the family's 1831-position model. Lineage: Eukaryota; Evosea; Eumycetozoa; Liceales; Enteridiidae. The record is from RNAcentral.
CUUGUCUUAAAGAUUAAGCCAUGCAUGCCAUGAUCGCAGGCCCUUCUUGGUUCUCACCUUGAAGGGCCGGGUAGUCAGCGAACGGCUCCGUAUAUCUGUUGUUACCUGUCGUGAUAAAUUAGCGUGGAUAUUGCACGGAAAAGCUGUGUGUAAAACAGCCAAGAUACGGGGCCCAAGCCCCCUGCACGUUGACACUGUACGGGGGGUUAAGUGGGGGCCUGCUCUGACCAUAUCAGGUCCCCCGCCUCUUCAACGCUCCCAAAGUACCCUAUGCCGCUCGUACCUGCAUAGGGGAAACGGAGGCCUCUUCUGAGAGUACUCUCCUGGCGGGGGCUGUGCCGAUAAAGGGCCUCCACAGGCCCCUCCAAUGGCCAGCACAAAAACCUUAGCCAUAUCUGACUCUCGGCCGGAAGAGACUAACCACAAGUGCACGAUGGGCUUCAGACCUAUCAGCUAGAUGGCAGGGUAUUGGCCUACCAUGGCUAUGACGGGUACAGAGGAUCAGGGUUUGAUCCUGGAGAGGUAGCCUGAGAGAUCGCUACCACUUCUAAGGAAGGCAGCAGGCGCGUAACGUUCCCAAUGCUGGUGUAGCCGCAGUGAGGACGUGAAGGGACAUAACAAUGCCUCUAUUAUAUAGUGGGCAAUUGACAAUGGGGUGGGCGCAAAUAUCCCACCGAGAAGCGACUGGAGGACAAGUCCGGUGCCAGCACCCGCGGUAAUUCCGGCUCCAGAAGUAUAUAGUUGAAUUGCUGCGGUUAAAACGCUCGUAGUCAAGUUCUGGAGUGAGCGCCUCGUCAGGGACUGUUGGACUGGCCCAUGGUCCCCCCAUUAUUGAUCCAGGCCUGUGGCCUUCCCGGGACUAGCCGAGGUUUUAUACUUUCGCCUGCGGCCCCUGGGUUGGAGCGGACCGUUACACAUGGAUCGAGGUGGGGGAUCGGCUUUGGGGUGGGACCAUGCCCUGCUGGGGUAGUUGUUGCCCCUGGGCGCCCUCCAUGGACCGUGUACAGCAUGCCAUUUGCAGGGCUGCUUGCCUCAUCCCACCGAGCGGCGGGCGAACCCCGCCUACUAGGAGGGCUCUGACGGGCUGCCUGAAUAACACCUUGCUGUACAGUGGGCAAGUACUGAGCAGAGGUUGGCCGGCCGUACCUCCCCCCCCUCAUGGGGGCGGGUGGAGGGCCCCAGCCGCUGUUAGGCGGUACUGUGUGAAUGGGCCCACAGGUCCAGGAUCUUUGAGUAAACUCGAACGCUUAAGGUAGGCCCAUUGCCAGCCUCAGACAGUAGCAAAGUAUUCCAACCUAACUGUGCUGGGUGCGGGUGGUGCUCCCUCGUGGACAGCACCCGUGCUAAUCGGCACCUUUGCCCACCUGCUGGUGAGUUUAAUAGGGGAGAAGGGGGCACUUUUUUUGCUUCCCGCAGCGGGUAGGGCAGGCAAUUUAUAUGGGGGUAAUCGGGGCCGGCCACAUGGCGAGGGGAGAGGUGAAAUUCGUUGAUCCUCGCUGGGUGAACUAACGCGAAAGCAGCCGGCCAGGGUACUCUCCUCGAUCAAGAACGAAAGCCUGGGGAGCGAAUGUGAUCAGAUACCACAGUAGUCCAGGCCCUAAACGUUGCCAGCUGGAGACGGGUCUAGGUCAGUGUAGACUUGGCCCGGAUCCUGAGGGAAACCAAAGCUUACAGGCUCCGGGGGGAGUAUGGCCGCAAGGCUGAAACUUAAAGGAAUUGAC